AUUGAACGCUGGCGGCAGGCCUAACACAUGCAAGUCGAACGAGUGGCGGACGGGUGAGUAAUGUCUGGGAAACUGCCUGAUGGAGGGGGAUAACUACUGGAAACGGUAGCUAAUACCGCAUACCAUCGGAUGUGCCCAGAUGGGAUUAGCUAGUAGGUGGGGUAAAGGCUAACCUAGGCGACGAUCCCUCGCUGGUCUGAGAGGAUGACCAGCCAGACUGUAAAGGAGACACGGUCCAUACUCCUACGGUAGGCAGCAGUGGGGAAUAUUGAACAAUGGGGGCAGGCCUGAGGCAGCUAUGCCGCGGGUAGGAGGAAGGCCUUCGGUUGGUAAAGUACUUUCAGCGGGGAGGCGUUACCCGCAGAAGAAGCACCGGCUAACUCCGUGCCAGCAGCCGCGGGAAUUC
This 406-nucleotide ribosomal RNA is filed under the name uncultured bacterium. RNAcentral's name for it is "partial 16S ribosomal RNA". It matches the Rfam family "Bacterial small subunit ribosomal RNA", at positions 30 to 526 of the family's 1533-position model. The record is from RNAcentral.